AGGGUGUAAACGCUGCGGGCUUGGUGUUGGGGGUCCUUAGUGGGCGCCCAGUGCCGGAGAGAAGUUGUUAAGCCUGCUGCUUGGGGAGUAUGUCCGCAAGGAUGAAACUUAAAGGAAUUGGCGGGGGAGCACCGCAACGGGAGGAGCGUGCGGUUCAAUUGGAUUCAACGCCGAAAAACUCACCAGGAGCGACGGAUAUAUGAAGGUCAAGCUGAUGACUCUGCUAGAUUUUCAGAGAGGUGGUGCAUGGCGUCAGUGACU
Molecule: ribosomal RNA, 261 nt
Filed under: uncultured archaeon
Lineage: Archaea
Description: partial 16S ribosomal RNA
Rfam family: Archaeal small subunit ribosomal RNA
Source: RNAcentral